GGGCCCGCACAAGCAGCGGAGCAUGUGGUUUAAUUCGAAGCAACGCGAAGAACCUUACCUAGACUUGACAUCUCCUGAAUAGCGUAGAGAUACGUGAAGCCCUUCGGGGCAGGAAGACAGGUGGUGCAUGGUUGUCGUCAGCUCGUGUCGUGAGAUGUUGGGUUAAGUCCCGCAACGAGCGCAACCCUUAUCAUUAGUUGCUACCAUUAAGUUGAGCACUCUAGUGAGACUGCCCGGGUUAACCGGGAGGAAGGCGGGGAUGACGUCAAAUCAUCAUGCCCCUUAUGUCUAGGGCUACACACGUGCUACAAUGGUGAGAACAACGAGAUGCAAUACCGCGAGGUGGAGCCAAACUUGAAAACUCAUCCCAGUUCGGAUUGUAGGCUGAAAUUCGCCUACAUGAAGUUGGAGUUGCUAGUAAUCGCGAAUCAGAAUGUCGCGGUGAAUACGUUCCCGGGCCUUGUACACACCGCCCCGUCACACCCUGAGAGCUGGUAACCCCCCGAAGUCCGUGAGGUACCCUUAUGGAGCCAGCGGCCGAAGGUGGGAUUAGUGAUUGGGGUGAAGUCGUAACCAAGGUAGCCGUAGGAGAACCUGCGGCUGGAUCAC
RNAcentral lists this ribosomal RNA (609 nucleotides) under uncultured bacterium. RNAcentral describes it as "bacterial SSU rRNA". It matches the Rfam family "Bacterial small subunit ribosomal RNA", at positions 917 to 1526 of the family's 1533-position model. The record is from RNAcentral.